UAAAGCAGGAAUUACUACUGCUUGUUUACGCAUUAAAUCGAAGUGGACUGCUGGCGGAAAAUGAGAAAAUUCGACCUAUCCUUGCGCAGCUCGAGAAGCUCUUACUUUGCGACCUUUCGCCAUCAACUAACGAUUCUGUCAAAAACUGACGCGUUGGAUGAGGAGAAGUGGCUUAAUAUGCUUGGCACG
RNAcentral lists this ribosomal RNA (189 nucleotides) under uncultured prokaryote. RNAcentral describes it as "partial 16S ribosomal RNA". The record is from RNAcentral.